CGCAGCCCAGUCAAAUUCGGUCCCUGUCCCUCAGUGUCGGGGACCGGCCACCGGCUGCCACAGCGACCCGCGGUGCUCCCGUGUCCCUGUCCCCUCUGUCCCCUCGGGUGGGACAGGGGAGGCGGAUCCCGCGGACACAC
This 140-nucleotide small nucleolar RNA is filed under the name Cyanoderma ruficeps (rufous-capped babbler). RNAcentral describes it as "Small nucleolar RNA SNORA5 (ENSCRFG00000005546.1)". It matches the Rfam family "Small nucleolar RNA SNORA5". From Rfam's summary of the family: ACA5 is a member of the H/ACA class of snoRNA that guide the sites of modification of uridines to pseudouridines. Lineage: Eukaryota; Metazoa; Chordata; Aves; Passeriformes; Timaliidae. The record is from Rfam by way of RNAcentral.